Molecule: ribosomal RNA, 718 nt
Filed under: uncultured Methanomicrobiales archaeon
Lineage: Archaea; Methanobacteriati; Methanobacteriota; Methanomicrobia; Methanomicrobiales
Description: bacterial SSU rRNA
Rfam family: Archaeal small subunit ribosomal RNA
Source: RNAcentral
UAAGUGGAAUAAUCCCGGGAAACUGGGGCUAAUACUCCAUAUUUUGAUAUAACUGGAAUGUUUGUCAAGAUAAAGAUCCGUCGCUUCAGGAUGAGUCUGCGUCCGAUUAGGUAGUCGUUGGGGUUAUUGCCCAACAAGCCUAUAAUCGGUACGGGUUGUGAGAGCAAGAGCCCGGAGUUGGAUUCUGAGACAUGAAUCCAGGCCCUACGGGGCGCAGCAGGCGCGAACACUUUACAAUGCGGGCAACCGUGAUAAGGAAACCCCGAGUGCCUGUAUACACAGGCUGUCCAUCUGUUUACAACACAGGUGAAGAAAGGGCCGGGCAAGACCGGUGCCAGCCGCCGCGGUAAUACCGGCGGCUCGAGUGGUGGCCACUAUUACUGGGCUUAAAGGGUCCGUAGCUUGGUUUAUCAGUCCCUUGGGAAAUCCACCGGCUUAACCGAUGGUCGUUUAGGGGAUACUGUGAACCUUGGGACCGGGAGAGGUGAGAGGUACUGCAGGGGUAGGAGUGAAAUCCUGUAAUCCCUGUGGGACCACCUGUGGCGAAGGCGUCUCACCAGAACGGCUCCGACAGUGAGGGACGAAAGCUGGGGGAGCGAACCGGAUUAGAUACCCGGGUAGUCCCAGCCGUAAACGAUGCGCGUUAGGUGUGUCAGUGACCACGUGUCACUGAAGGUGCCGAAGGGAAACCGUGAAACGCGCCCGCCUGGGGAAGUAC